RNAcentral lists this ribosomal RNA (794 nucleotides) under uncultured crenarchaeote. RNAcentral's name for it is "bacterial SSU rRNA". It matches the Rfam family "Archaeal small subunit ribosomal RNA", at positions 79 to 876 of the family's 1478-position model. Lineage: Archaea; Thermoproteati; Thermoproteota. The record is from RNAcentral.
GCCCUUACGGCUCAGUAACACGUAGUCAACAUGCCCAAAGGACGUGGAUAACCUCGGGAAACUGAGGAUAAACCGCGAUAGGCCAAGGUUUCUGGAAUGAGCCAUGGCCGAAAUCUAUAUGGCCUUUGGAUUGGACUGCGGCCGAUCAGGCUGUUGGUGAGGUAAUGGCCCACCAAACCUGUAACCGGUACGGGCUUUGAGAGAAGGAGCCCGGAGAUGGGCACUGAGACAAGGGCCCAGGCCCUAUGGGGCGCAGCAGGCGCGAAACCUCUGCAAUAGGCGAAAGCCUGACAGGGUUACUCUGAGUGAUGCCCGCUAAGGGUAUCUUUUGGCACCUCUAAAAAUGGUGCAGAAUAAGGGGUGGGCAAGUCUGGUGUCAGCCGCCGCGGUAAUACCAGCACCCCGAGUUGUCGGGACGAUUAUUGGGCCUAAAGCAUCCGUAGCCUGUUCUGCAAGUCCUCCGUUAAAUCCACCUGCUCAACGGAUGGGCUGCGGAGGAUACCGCAGAGCUAGGAGGCGGGAGAGGCAAACGGUACUCAGUGGGUAGGGGUAAAAUCCAUUGAUCCAUUGAAGACCACCAGUGGCGAAGGCGGUUUGCCAGAACGCGCUCGACGGUGAGGGAUGAAAGCUGGGGGAGCAAACCGGAUUAGAUACCCGGGUAGUCCCAGCUGUAAACGAUGCAGACUCGGUGAUGGGCUAGCUUUAUGCCAGCUCAGUGCCGCAGGGAAGCCGUUAAGUCUGCCGCCUGGGGAGUACGGUCGCAAGACUGAAACUUAAAGGAAUUGGCGGGGGAG